This 442-nucleotide ribosomal RNA is filed under the name uncultured bacterium. Its description in RNAcentral is "partial 16S ribosomal RNA". The record is from RNAcentral.
GACUACUGGGGUAUCUAAUCCUGUUCGCUCCCCACGCUUUCGCGUCUCAGCGUCAGUACAGGCCCAGAGUGCCGCCUUCGCCACGGGUGUUCUUCCUGAUAUCUACGCAUUCCACCGCUACACCAGGAAUUCCACACUCCUCUGCCUGCCUCCAGACUCCCAGUCCCCAAGGCACUGUAUGGGGUUGAGCCCCAACCUUUCACCUCAGGCUUAAAAAUCCGCCUACACGCGCUUUACGCCCAAUAAAUUCGGACAACGCUCGCCCCCUCCGUAUUACCGCGGCUGCUGGCACGGAGUUAGCCGGGGCUUAUUCGUAAGGUACCGUCCUUGCUCGUCCCUUACAAAAGGAGUUUACAACCCGAAGGCCGUCUUCCUCCACGCGACGUCGCUGCGUCAGGGUUGCCCCCAUUGCGCAAGAUUCCUCACUGCAGCCCCCCGUAGG